GUUACAGAUCAGCUCAAUUAUCUAUUGUAAAGGAUCCCACAAAUUAAUGCAAGAUACAAUAUAUAUAUAUAUAAACGAGUCUAAAUUUAAAACUACGUUCAAACCUAUGAUUGCGUUGGAUAAAAGCGCAAUUUUAUACGUGUGCAUGAAAGGCAAAUUUCGUUCUAGAAGGGUUUAAAAGCAACACAAACAACAUUUUCCAAAAGACCAAAAAAGUGAAAAAAAGUAUUUUUAAACAAAACGCAUUUGACUAACAGGUUGAACAACUGAUGUUCUUUAACCCUGCUGACUGCCAUUGGCGAUUGCCAAAUAAAAUUGCUCACAAGAUGUGACAAAAUGGAUCUUAAAAUGAAUUUAAUACUAAACAGAAGAAAUUUUUUUUUUAACUUGUGGCGACGAUGUAUGCCACAAACAUACGGUGUCAAUAUUUGUUUAGUACACCAGAUCCGGAUUUCGACAAUAAAUGUCUGUUCAGUGAUGUUAGGGAUCGAAACGGUAUUUGGAAGGCCAUAUAAAAAGUACCUUAAUUUUUAGAAAAAGUACCCUCAUUUUUAGAUAGACUCUUGAAUUUUAAGAGUCAAUAUAGGAUGAACGGGUCAUAUAAACCGGAGGGAAGCCCAAACAAAAAAAUAAAUAAAUAAACGAGUCUAAAUUGAAAACUACGUUCAACCUAUGAUUGCGUUGGAUAAAAACCGCAAUUUUUAUACGUGUGCAUGUAAAGCAAAUUUCGUUGUAGAAGAGUCUAAAAACAGCACAAACAACAUUUUCCAAAAGACCAAAAAAGUGAAAAAGUAUAUUUAAACAAAACACAUUUGACUAACAGGUUGAACAACUGAUGUUCUUUAACCCUGCUGACUACCAUCGCCAAAUAAAAUAGAUCACAAGAUGUAACAUAAUGGAUCUUAAUAUAAAUUUAAUACUAAACAGAAAAAUUUUGUUUUUAACUUGUGGCGACGAUGACAUACGGUGUCAAUAUUCUUUUAAUACACCAUAUCCUGAUUUCGACAAUAAAUGUCUCUUCAGUGAUGUUAGGGAUCGAAACGGUAUUUGGAAGGCCAUAUAAAAAGUAC
Molecule: long non-coding RNA, 1070 nt
Filed under: Mytilus galloprovincialis (Mediterranean mussel)
Lineage: Eukaryota; Metazoa; Mollusca; Bivalvia; Mytilida; Mytilidae
Source: RNAcentral